Molecule: ribosomal RNA, 424 nt
Filed under: uncultured bacterium
Lineage: Bacteria
Description: bacterial SSU rRNA
Rfam family: Bacterial small subunit ribosomal RNA
Source: RNAcentral
UGGGGAAUCUUGGACAAUGGGGGAAACCCUGAUCCAGCGAUGCCGCGUGAGUGAUGAAGGCCUUCGGGUUGUAAAACUCUUUUACCCGGGAAGAUAAUGACUGUACCGGGAGAAUAAGCUCCGGCUAACUUCGUGCCAGCAGCCGCGGUAAUACGAAGGGGGCUAGCGUUGUUCGGAAUUACUGGGCGUAAAGCGCGCGCAGGCGGCCAUUCAAGUCAGGGGUGAAAGCCCAGAGCUCAACUCUGGAACUGCCCUUGAAACUGUAUGGCUUGAGUAUGAGAGAGGUGAGUGGAAUUCCCAGUGUAGAGGUGAAAUUCGUAGAUAUUGGGAAGAACACCGGUGGCGAAGGCGGCUCACUGGCUCAUUACUGACGCUCAGGCGCGACAGCGUGGGGAUCAAACAGGAUUAGAUACCCCCGUAGUCC